CAACGAAUAUUCCGCAAUGGGCGCAAGCCUGACGGAGCGACGCCGCGUGGGGGAUGAAGUCCUUCGGGAUGUAAACUCUGAUAGUGCGCCAGGAAGCAAGCCGGCCUAAUACGCCGGUAAGUUGACCAGCGUACGAAAGGGGCGGCUAACUCCGUGCCAGCAGCCGCGGUAAGACGGAGGCCCCGAGCGUUGUUCGGAAUCACUGGGUUUAAAGCGCGUGUAGGCGGAGUGGCAAGUACCGUGGGAAAUCCCCGGCUUCAACCCGGGAACGGCUUGG
RNAcentral lists this ribosomal RNA (277 nucleotides) under uncultured prokaryote. Its description in RNAcentral is "partial 16S ribosomal RNA". It matches the Rfam family "Bacterial small subunit ribosomal RNA", at positions 355 to 628 of the family's 1533-position model. The record is from RNAcentral.